This 1482-nucleotide ribosomal RNA is filed under the name Triticum aestivum (bread wheat). RNAcentral describes it as "partial small subunit ribosomal RNA". Lineage: Eukaryota; Viridiplantae; Streptophyta; Magnoliopsida; Poales; Poaceae. The record is from RNAcentral.
AUGGAUCGCAUAACGCCUGAUUUGGUGGCAAAAUAUCCUGAAUUAGGCAGCGUGGCGGCUAAAGUGAGGGAACAGCCCAAGGAUAUGGUUCUGGGGACGCAACAACAGCCUAAGGAUAUGGCAAACAAGUCUGGCAUAUUGGAUGGUGGUGGUGAUGAUAGAGGCAAAUCUCCUGUCUUAGAGGAGCAGGUGCCAAUAGCCGACUGGAAAUUCAAACCAGAGAUGGAGGUGGAUUCAGUGACACAUACCAAUGAAUCACCGAGGGAUUUUUCCAUAGUACUAAAUACGGAUGAGUCGCCUAUGGAUUCUAUCAUGUUAAAUACAGAUGAGUCGCCGACACUAGAACCAGUUCUUUCUUGUGUCCCUGAUAUCCAGUCUGAGGAUAAGUCGUCCACACUCCAGCCAGUUCUUUGUUGCGGCCCUGAUAUCCAGUCUAAGGUUCAUGUCCGUCCUCGUCCUCCUCAUUGCAGGAAGCAGGAGGAUACAGUUCUCCCUCCUAAGCAUCUCUUACAACAGCAGAAGCAACCAUCUGUGCAUAACCACCAUGAGAUUUGUCCGCAAGGUACCAAUGACGAUGUGGCGACAACCUUGGGGGCCCAGUUCCAGAAUUUGGACUUGUCCGUAUCCAAAUUGGUGGAAUUGGACAGAGGCGAAUCCCUCUCGGAGGAACAGGUCAAAUUUCUGGAGACCCAGCAGCUGCCCAGGGAUAUGGCAAACAAGUUAGACAUAUUGGAUGGUGGUGGUGAUGAGACAGAGGUUAAGAUGGGCAGAGGCAAAUCUCUCAAAGAGAAACAAGUCAUGGUUCUGGAGACCCAGCAGCAGCCGACGGAUGUGGCAAACAAGUUAGACAAAUUGGAUGGUGGUGCUAAUGAGCCAGAGGUUGAGAUGGACAGACGCAAAUCCCUCUUGGGGGAACAGGUCAAGGAUAUGGCAAACAAGUCGCACAUAUCACUCUCGGAGGAAAGGGAAACCUGGAAGCAGCAGCAGUCUAUACUCUUUUCAAAGCUCGAAUCCUGUGUGCAGGUGCUCAAAGAGAUGAUGGAGGUAGGCAGAGGCGCGGUCAACUUCUACCCUGAGAUGCAGAUUGAAGAGUUGUCAGCAGUGUAUCACAGGACAAGUGAAGCAAUUCGUAACUUGCACUUUCUUUUAAAGAGUAUACCUAAUUGGGUGUGGGAUGAGGUGGAGGGGAAGCAAAUGGCCAAGGCAGGAAUGGAAGUCAGAGCGAAACCCUUCAUGGAGAAGCAGGUGAUUGGUCCAUUGCCUCGUGAGACGGAUAUGGAAGGGGGAUCCAGGAAGCAGCAGCAGUCUCAACUUCUUCCCUGUGGCCUUCAGAUUCAGAGUAAUGAUCAGUCUCUUGGCAGUAAGAAGGGGAAACACGGGGGUCGUAAGAAGGGGAAACAUGAGGGGCAUAAGAAGGGGAAAUACAGGGUUUGUGCUGCUGCUCCAUCCAUGGAUUUCGAGAUGGAAGAGGAAUCCGGGUAG